This 21-nucleotide non-coding RNA is filed under the name Caenorhabditis elegans. Lineage: Eukaryota; Metazoa; Nematoda; Chromadorea; Rhabditida; Rhabditidae. The record is from RNAcentral.
UUGGUGGAGCAAAUUUAAUUC